CACGUAGGAGGCGAACGUUAUCCGGAUUUACUGGGCGUAAAGCGCGUGUAGGUGGUACUGUAAGUAGGGCGUGAAAGCUCCUGGCUCAACUGGGAGAGGCCGUUCUAAACUACAGAACUAGAGGAUGGUAGAGGGAGGUGGAAUUCCAGGUGUAGCGGUGGAAUGCGCAGAUAUCUGGAGGAACACCGGUGGCGAAGGCGGCCUCCUGGACCAUUCCUGACACUCAGACGCGAAAGCUAGGGUAGCAAACGGGAUUAGAUACCCGUUAGUCCCUGAG
RNAcentral lists this ribosomal RNA (277 nucleotides) under uncultured prokaryote. RNAcentral describes it as "partial 16S ribosomal RNA". It matches the Rfam family "Bacterial small subunit ribosomal RNA", at positions 524 to 801 of the family's 1533-position model. The record is from RNAcentral.